GAUGAACGCUGGCGGCGUGCCUAAUACAUGCAAGUCGAGCGAACAGACGAGGAGCUUGCUCCUCUGACGUUAGCGGCGGACGGGUGAGUAACACGUGGAUAACCUACCUAUAAGACUGGGAUAACUUCGGGAAACCGGAGCUAAUACCGGAUAAUAUAUUGAACCGCAUGGUUCAAUAGUGAAGGACGGUUUUGCUGUCACUUAUAGAUGGAUCCGCGCCGCAUUAGCUAGUUGGUAAGGUAACGGCUUACCAAGGCAACGAUGAGUAGCCGACCUGAGAGGGUGAUCGGCCACACUGGAACUGAGACACGGUCCAGACUCCUACGGGAGGCAGCAGUAGGGAAUCUUCCGCAAUGGGCGAAAGCCUGACGGAGCAACGCCGCGUGAGUGAUGAAGGUCUUCGGAUCGUAAAACUCUGUUAUUAGGGAAGAACAAAUGUGUAAGUAACUAUGCACGUCUUGACGGUACCUAAUCAGAAAGCCACGGCUAACUACGUG
Molecule: ribosomal RNA, 497 nt
Filed under: uncultured bacterium
Lineage: Bacteria
Description: partial 16S ribosomal RNA
Rfam family: Bacterial small subunit ribosomal RNA
Source: RNAcentral